GACGAACGCUGGCGGCGUGCUUAACACAUGCAAGUCGAACGGAAAGGCCCUGCUUGCAGGGUACUCGAGUGGCGAACGGGUGAGUAACACGUGGGUGAUCUGCCCUGCACUUCGGGAUAAGCUUGGGAAACUGGGUCUAAUACCGGAUAGGAGCCAUCUUUAGUGUGGUGGUUGGAAAGUUUUUCCGGUGUAGGAUGAGCUCGCGGCCUAUCAGCUUGUUGGUGGGGUAAUGGCCUACCAAGGCGGCGACGGGUAGCCGGCCUGAGAGGGGGUACGGCCAAAUUGGGACUGAGAGACGGGCCAGACUGCGAAGGGGGGGAGGAGGGGGGAAUAUUGGACCAAGGGAGGAAGCCUGAAGGAGGGAGGCCGGCGGGGGGAUGAAGGCCUUCGGGUUGUAAACUCCUUUCGCUAGGGACGAAGCUUUUUUGUGACGGUACCUAGAGAAGAAGCACCGGCUAACUACGUG
RNAcentral lists this ribosomal RNA (466 nucleotides) under uncultured bacterium. RNAcentral's name for it is "partial 16S ribosomal RNA". It matches the Rfam family "Bacterial small subunit ribosomal RNA", at positions 28 to 507 of the family's 1533-position model. The record is from RNAcentral.